This 468-nucleotide ribosomal RNA is filed under the name uncultured bacterium. RNAcentral describes it as "partial 16S ribosomal RNA". It matches the Rfam family "Bacterial small subunit ribosomal RNA", at positions 28 to 507 of the family's 1533-position model. The record is from RNAcentral.
GACGAACGCUGGCGGCGUGCUUAACACAUGCAAGUCGAACGGAAAGGCCCUGCUUUUGUGGGGUGCUCGAGUGGCGAACGGGUGAGUAACACGUGAGUAACCUGCCCUUGACUUUGGGAUAACUUCAGGAAACUGGGGCUAAUACCGGAUAGGUGCUCCUGCUGCAUGGUGGGGGUUGGAAAGUUUCGGCGGUUGGGGAUGGACUCGCGGCUUAUUAGCUUGUUGGUGGGGUAGUGGCUUACCAAGGCUUUGACGGGUAGCCGGCCUGAGAGGGUGACCGGCCACAUUGGGACUGAGAUACGGGCCAGACUCCUACGGGAGGCAGCAGUGGGGAAUAUUGCACAAUGGGCGGAAGCCUGAUGCAGCAACGCCGCGUGCGGGAUGACGGCCUUCGGGUUGUAAACCGCUUUCGCCUGUGACGAAGCGUGAGUGACGGUAAUGGGUAAAGAAGCACCGGCUAACUACGUG